This is a long non-coding RNA of Anthonomus grandis grandis, 358 nucleotides long. RefSeq lists it as uncharacterized. The transcript has 3 exons. NCBI's taxonomy places the organism in Eukaryota, Metazoa, Arthropoda, Insecta, Coleoptera, Curculionidae. The record is from RefSeq and is a predicted model, not a curated record.
UAGAAACACAGCAGCCAAUAAUUCAGUUAAUUUACCAAGUGAUUUACCCUUCAAAGCUACAGGGGUAGCUUUCCUGAAGAGUGCAAAAACGUCUUUAGCUUUCAAAAUGGUAUAUAGUACAAACAGUGAAGCUAAUAUAGACAUAUCUGAUCAUUCAUCAUCAACAAUAACUGCAUCUGAGAAUUAUAGUUCUACAGUAACCGUGGAGUCUAGGUCAACAAUUACUAUUUCUCAUCCAAGCCGUUUUUGUUUAACUGCUACACAUUCCCUGACUCUGCCAAGGAAAAGGGUAAAAUCAAAAUGAUAUCCUGAGGACCUAAGCACUGAUGAUUCCACCGUUUCAAGAGCUUAAUCACUU